ACAGGAGAAGCUUGCUUUCUUGCUGACGAGCGGCGGACGGGUGAGUAAUGUAUGGGGAUCUGCCCGAUAGAGGGGGAUAACUACUGGAAACGGUGGCUAAUACCGCAUGACGUCUACGGACCAAAGCAGGGGCUCUUCGGACCUUGCGCUAUCGGAUGAACCCAUAUGGGAUUAGCUAGUAGGUGAGGUAAUGGCUCACCUAGGCGACGAUCUCUAGCUGGUCUGAGAGGAUGAUCAGCCACACUGGGACUGAGACACGGCCCAGACUCCUACGGGAGGCAGCAGUGGGGAAUAUUGCACAAUGGGCGCAAGCCUGAUGCAGCCAUGCCGCGUGUAUGAAGAAGGCCUUAGGGUUUUUAAAGCCCUUUCUGCGGGGAGGAAGGUGAUAAAGUUAAUACCCUUUUUCAAUUUGAAAUU
RNAcentral lists this ribosomal RNA (417 nucleotides) under Proteus vulgaris. RNAcentral describes it as "bacterial SSU rRNA". It matches the Rfam family "Bacterial small subunit ribosomal RNA", at positions 70 to 477 of the family's 1533-position model. Lineage: Bacteria; Pseudomonadati; Pseudomonadota; Gammaproteobacteria; Enterobacterales; Morganellaceae. The record is from RNAcentral.